CCUACGGGAGGCAGCAGUAGGGAAUAUUGCUCAAUGGGGGAAACCCUGAAGCAGCAACGCCGCGUGGAGGAUGAAGGUUUUCGGAUUGUAAACUCCUUUUGUUAGAGAAGAUAAUGUCGGUAUGUAACGUAUAAGCACCGGCUAACUCCGUGCCAGCAGCCGUGGUAAUACGGAGGGUGCAAGCGUUACUCGGAAUCUCUGGGCGUAAAGGGCGCGUAGGCGGGUGAGCAAGUCAGAUGUGAAAUCCUAUGGUUUAACCAUAGAACUGCAUUUGAAACUGUUAUUCUAGAGUAUGGGAGAGGUAGGUGGAAUUCGUGGUGUAGGGGUAAAAUCCGUAGAGAUCAAGAAGAAUACUCAUUGCGAAGGCGACCUGCUAGAACAUAACUGACGCUGAUGCACGAAAGCGUGGGGAGCAAACAGGAUUAGAUACCCCUGUAGUC
RNAcentral lists this ribosomal RNA (440 nucleotides) under uncultured bacterium. Its description in RNAcentral is "partial 16S ribosomal RNA". It matches the Rfam family "Bacterial small subunit ribosomal RNA", at positions 338 to 795 of the family's 1533-position model. The record is from RNAcentral.